ACGCCCAUACCAUGCUGAAUAUACUUGUUCUCGUUAGAUCACCGAAGUCAAACAUCAUUGGGCGCGGUCAGUACUUGGGUGGGUGACCACCUGGGAACACAACGUGCCGUU
This 111-nucleotide ribosomal RNA is filed under the name Caerostris extrusa. Lineage: Eukaryota; Metazoa; Arthropoda; Arachnida; Araneae; Araneidae. The record is from RNAcentral.